This 497-nucleotide ribosomal RNA is filed under the name uncultured bacterium. Its description in RNAcentral is "partial 16S ribosomal RNA". It matches the Rfam family "Bacterial small subunit ribosomal RNA", at positions 28 to 507 of the family's 1533-position model. The record is from RNAcentral.
GGUGAACGCUGGCGGCGUGCCUAAUACAUGCAAGUCGAGCGAACAGACGAGGAGCUUGCUCCUCUGACGUUAGCGGCGGACGGGUGAGUAACACGUGGAUAACCUACCUAUAAGACUUGGAUAACUUCGGGAAACCGGAGCUAAUACCGGAGAAUAUAUUUAACCGCAUGGUUCAAUAGUGAAAGACGGUUUUGCUGUCACUUAGAGAUGGAUUCGCGCCGCAUUAGCUAGUUGGUAAGGUAACGGCUUACCAAGGCAACGAUGCGUAGCCGACCUGAGAGGGUGAUCGGACACACUGGAACUGAGACACGGUCCAGACUCCUACGGGAGGCAGCAGUAGGGAAUCUUCCGCAAUGGGCGAAAGCUUGACGGAGCAACGCCGCGUGAGUGAUGAAGGUCUUCGGAUCGUAAAACUCUGUUAUUAGGGAAGAACAACUGUGUAAGUAACUAUGCACGUCUUGACGGUACCUAAUGAGAAAGCCACGGCUAACUACGUG